GUGAAUUACUGUAAUUUAAGUACUUACAGUUUUUGAAGACAGCAGGCUCAGGGAUCAAGUAAGUCUUUCAACUCCUUCACUAUGCGGCGCCGGCGAUACCACUCGCAUAGUGAAGGAUUGGAUCGGACAAGGAGCAAUUUAAAUAUUUAGCAUAUUGUGUAACUAUUACUAAGCAAACAAGGCAUUUUGCCACCCCAUUGGCAAGUGCCGCCCUAGGCAAAUGCCUUGUUUGCCUUGUGAUAGAUACACCCCUGGUCAAAAGGGAACCUGUCACCAUGAAAAUGAAGGCCAGCCUGCAGACCGCAUGUUACAGAGCAGGAGGAGCUGAGCUACCUGAUAUAGUAUUGUGGGAAAAGAUUCCACAAAACAUGUAUGUUACUCAUUCUGGGCCUAGGAGUCCAGUGGGCGGUCCUACUCAGCGAUUGACAGUAUUUUGUAUAUAUUGUGCACACAGAUAGCUGUCAGUGAAUACAAUUUCUUAGCACUGUGUGAAUGAAGGGUGCCCCAUGUGCUGGUUUCCUUCCUUUUGUAAUAUCGGGCAUUGAGUAGGACCGCCCACUUGACUCCUAAGAACAGAAUGAGCAGAAUAUAAAAUUUAAAAGAAUACAAGUUAUAGUAUAUCUUUUCCAACAAAGCUUUAAAUCCGUCUACUCCACUCCAUCGGUACUAUACCAUGCUGCCUGCCGAUCGGACUGCGUGUGCAAACUGACGGGUGCCCUUUAAGUACUGGAUAUUUUUCCCUGUAUGCAUGUUAUUGAUGAUCUUUGUGAAAUCCAUGAAUUAAUUAAUGUCCCUUUUUAGUUUCUUGUAUUAUCAGACUGUACGAAGUAUCAUUGUAAGGUGAAAAAAAAUCAGCAUAAAAGCGCAGCUGGUAACUUUAUUUGUAUGGGAGUAGAUGUAUGCUUGACUGUGGUCUGUGGCGUCUCAAACGGCUUUUGCCGCAGACCAAAUAUUUUACUGUAUCUUCUGGAGCAGUGUCUGGUUAUUUGGAAUAUCUCAACUUUUACAUAAUACUUUUUUCUACCUCAGGAAUUUCUUAACGCUGUGUGAAUGAGGGGUGCCCUGUGUGCGGUUUUUGCUUUGUAAUAUCGGGCAUUGUAGGGUUUUAUAGCUAUACCCAACAAUAAAAAAAAACUGUAGGUUGAUAAACAAAUCUUUAUAGCUGCAAGGUGUGCUGUGUCUUCCAGUUCAUUCAUACUCCUCCUUAGUGGUAUUACAACAUAAAGGGGUAUCCCUUUAUUUUUUUUGUUUAAUUUAUUGGUUUAUAUAAAUGGGAAAUUUAUACCAUUUUUAAAUAUACAUGUAUUUAAAGUUUUGCUUACAUAUCUAUCUUAUAUGGGCAGCACGGUGGCUCAGUGGUUAGCACUGGUGUCUUAGGUUUGAAUCCGACCAAAGACAACACCUGCAUGGAGUUUGUAUGUUUCCUCCCACACUCCAGAGAUAUACUGAUAGGGACCUUAGAUUGUGACCCCAUAGGGGACAGAGUGAUGAUUAAGUCUGUGAAGGGCGGCAGAAUAUGUCAGCACUAUAUAAGUGAGUACAAUAAAUGGGUUGCUUUCCCCCUAUUGGCACAGUAAAAUGGUGUAGUCCAUGGAUCAUUCAGUCCCGUGUAAUGCAUCCAUAGACUAAAUGAAAUAUGGGAUCAGUCAUGGGACACUGACAUCCAGUAAGCAACGGUGUUACAUGACAUAUAUACAUAGGAAUAAUGGUGGAAAUCAUUGUGGCCAUUACAACAACUAUGUCACUGUAUAUGUGUUUAUGGCUGCCUAUUUCCACUUGAUAUGUAAAUGGCUGCCUGUCUCUAGGUGGUGAUGUUAAUAAAUUUAACUGUAAAAAGAAUGCAAACAUGACACAUACAGGCAAGAUAUGGAGAACAAUGUCAGAUGUGCUUCUACACAGACACUGAUGGACAUGAUGAGAUGCUGCUGCAGGCAGUAAUACUGUAAUAUACUAGUAGUGGGUGUAUAUAUAUAUAUAUAUGCGAGCGGUCACAUGACGGGAUUGACACCAAUAGUCCUAUUCAGAUCUCGUACGAAGGCUCAAAGUCUGAGAGCAAAAUUUUAAAUACAUAUACAUUAGAAAAUUAUAUAUAACUGCCUAUUCUCUAAGCAAAUAAACUUAAUCAUUAAAAUUGGAAUACCUCUUUAAAUGGUUUGGAGGCUCUAUACAAAUGUGCAGGUGCACAUAAAGCCACUUAUUACUAUAAUUCCGUAAGGGUACUUUCACACUUGCGUUAAAGUUUUCCGGUAUUGAGUUCCGUCACAGGGGCUCAAUACCGGAAAAAAGCGCUUCAGUUUUAUCCCCAUGCAUUCUGAAUAGAGAGCAAUCCAUUCAGGAUGUCUUCAGUUCAGUCACUCUUACAGUAUUUGGCUGGAGAAAACACCGCAGCAUGCUGCAGUAUAUUCUGGAACACACGCCGGAUCCCGCAUUAAUUUCCAUAGAAAUGUAUAAAUGCCGGAUCAGGUACCAAGUCCUGAGGAUAGGUGAUCAGUAAAAAAAUAAAAAUCUUGGAAAACCCCUUUAAUGCAUUUUUGCUUAUGUCGUUUUGUGGCAAUACAUUCAGUAUAACUUGCCUCUUAUUUUUAAUCCCAGCCCUUCCUAUGUUUAGGAGCCCAGUGGGUGGCUAUAUGUCUGUGUAGUAACUGGAAUCCAAAUCGUAGAAAGAGAAGGGAUUUCAAUUAAAGGGCUUAUCCCACAAACUUAAAACAAAUCUUUUUCACUCGCACCUGGAGGACUUUCACCAACGAUACAUAUAGCAUGUAUGCCCUCCUCCACCCAUUUGCUUUUCUAUUUUCUAGAGAGAGCUUUUCAGGCCGCUUCUCAAUGGAAUCCCUAUGCCAGGGAAGGUGGGCCGGGGGUGCUAUCGGAGAGGAGAAUGUUCUUAUUGCAUGUAUAUUGCAAUAAUACUUUUAAAACGCUGUCUUGGUGGCACAUGAAUACUUUCUUGGGAUAAUGCCUUAAAUAAAACAGUGCUUAUUCUGAACGCUUUCCCACAAAGCUAUAUAUAAAUCUGCUUAGCGCUAUACAAUGCUGCCCACCGCUUAAUCUGCUGAAUGUUAUGCUCAAAGCUCUACUGAUUUUGAGCAUUAUAUUUUACAUGUAGUGCAUUUUUCAUGGGGGGGGGGGGGGGUCAAACCCCCACUAAUUUCAUAAUGAUGACCUAUCCUGAAGACAGGUCAUCAGUAGUGAUGAGCGAGGCAAGCUUUGGAUGCUACAUCCGAUGUCGUUUUUGUUCAAAAUUAAUGUUAAUUAAUACAGAGAUCCAUCUCCGUACAGUACUAAAAUGUAUGGGCUCCGAUGAGGCGAAGUCGCGUGAGACUUAGUUGAAUAACUUCUGUAGUUGAUUUUUACAGUGGAUAACCACUUUAAAACUUGGAACCGAACCCGCUUCAGUUCCUACUGGUACCUCUGACUUCAUCUCAUCUGAGCCCAUCCGUUAUAAUACUGAACAGAGACAGAUCUCCAUACACUGUUAAUCUCAAGUUCUGAACAAAGUGACUUCGGCGGUAGCAUCUGAAGCUUGCUUCGCUCCUCACUAGUCAUCGGUAACAUCCUGAUUUUUGGCUUCAAAAGCUGCUGCAAGAAAAAAAUCUGAACUUGUGGCAGUGCCCUCUGAAGAAGUGUCUGGAAGGUUAAGGCUAGUCUCACAUCUGCGGCAGUUAUUCCGGAAGGCUGUAAUUCUCCACGUCCAGCAUUGCCGGAUGCAACUGGAAUGCCCGCCUGUCCCGUUAACUAUAAAGGGGUCUGGCACAGAUCCAGCAAAUAUGCAGACAAAUUGCCAGACACAAACCGCUGCAUAUGGCUGAGAGUUCCUGCCUGACCACAGAUCUACUCUACUAAACUGAAAUGACGCCUUGACCGAUAGUCGGGCAGGGACGCUCAGCAUCGUUAAUCAUUACGAUGCUGUAAGUUUGAGUCACAGAAGCAUUGUUCGGUCCAGGAAAUGCGACAAUCGCAUGGAGCGUGUAUCCUGGACCUAAGGCCUCAUCAUGCACACGACCAUAUUUUUGGAUACGGUCGUGUGCAGGAGGCCUAUAAGAGUGAGUUCACACAUCAAAUGCUUGUUGCAGAAUAUGCGCUGAAAAUCCGUAACAGUACCAUGUUAUUGAACGCAAAGCAAUGGGUGAAAACUGCAACUGAGUCCGCACCAAAAUCCGCAAUGAUAACACAGGCGGAUUUGAUGCAGAUUUUAAUGCACAUUUGGACUACAUUCACACACAGUCACAUGGCUGUUUUCAGAGCCAAUUAGAGACCAUGGGACUAUUUACGUGGCCAGUUAACGGUCAUAAAAAAUAGGUAUGCUCUUUGAAUUGCAUUAUGGAUUCCAUUACCACGGACUAUAAUGCAAUUCCAUGACGGAAUGCCUUUAGAGGCAUUGUGUUAUUCUUUCCGUCAUAAUAGAAGUCUGUGGACUGCAAAACGGAUCCGUCCCGUUUCCAUUAUGCAGGGGAGGAAACUGAAUGGAUCCAUUUUGCAGCCCAUAGACUUCUAUUAUGACGGAAAGAAUUCCAUUAUAGAAUUGCGUUCUGGUCCGUGGUAACUGAAUCCAUAACGCAAUUCACCUUUUACCAGCAAAGGAAGCGUGAACGAAUUUCAAAAUAUGAAAUUCGCUCAUCUCUAGCUAUAAUAGAUACUUUGGGCACUAUGGGGGCUAUUAUAGAUACUGAGAGCAGUAAGGGAGUCAUUAUAUAUGCAGGUGGCACUACAGAGAGACAUAAUAUAUACUGCGGGCACUGCAGGGGAUGGGAUAAAAAAAGAAAAUCCUGUGAAAUUCAUUUUUUUUCUUUUUAUAAUGUCCAUCGUUAACACCUGUUAGAAAAUGGAUGCACACACACUGAUGCAAAAUGGCCAUAAAAUACGAAGUGUGUCCGGUCUUGUCUGAACCCAGCCUUAGUUUGGGAAAACCUACUCUGAACCUCUUUAAUUUAAAGGAAUUCUUGUCAUUUUCCUCUGCAAAGUAAAGAGCAAUAAUUGUGUCUAAUUGAAAGUUGUAAAUGGGGGCACAUGUUUAUUCUGACCAGGUAUUGGUUUUUGGCAUUUGGCCAAGACCCACCUCUACCAGAAUCGGGUGAAGCACAUGGCACAACCACCAGCGGUGCGGCCAAAAACUCCAGUGCAAAACUGUGUGAAACAAACUGCCUCCUGUAAAUGAAGCUUUUUUUUCCUGCCGUAUAGGUCUCUCCUUUUUCUUUAAAUGAUUGGUAACAAAUAUAUUAAGCCUAUCUGUAUUGGCUCUCCAUGUCUUGAACGUGUAAAGCCAUAAUGUUGUAUUUGCCUGAGUCUUAUAAAAGGUAUACAUAGCAUUUGUAUAAAUUUUUGCAAUCGCAGCGUGCCUUUUUUAAGGUUUUAGGGAAACAUUGUGAUUUAUAUUAUUCAAAUAAAUAAUUGCAACAAAA
This is a long non-coding RNA of Bufo gargarizans (Asiatic toad), 5396 nucleotides long. RefSeq lists it as uncharacterized. NCBI's taxonomy places the organism in Eukaryota, Metazoa, Chordata, Amphibia, Anura, Bufonidae. The record is from RefSeq and is a predicted model, not a curated record. The transcript is spliced from 2 exons.